GUGCUGAUACAGCAUGAUCAGGCCCUGGCAGGCAAGGGAGCCCUUAGAGGAAGCAGCCAAUGAGCAAGCUGAAGACAUGACCUCCAAACCCAGAAGAGAAUUCUGAGUGAGUAGCAGGGCCAGAGCUAAGCCCCAGGCCACGUGCACAUGACUCCCACCUCCAGCCAAAAGUCAUGGUCACAUGUCACGCCUCCAUGCUGCUGCAGGGCCAGGCACGUACUCAGAGCCCUGCCAUGGGCAGUGAGUGCCAGGAUGGGAGGAGACACACGCUGAGGCCAACUGCUCUGGACGCAGGCCCGGAGGGGCGCAUCCGACCUGAGCCACCUUCCUCCUUGGAGCCGUCUGCCUCUGCCUAAUUCCAGCUGGCUUCUCUGAAGUCAAUCUGGUCAAGGUCAACUGGCCAUCAUGGGAAGCCAAACUCAGGGAGGUAAAUUUAGAGAGCUGAAGGGACACCCUCCCUGCCUGCUCCAGCUAUGACUCAGCGGAAAUUCUGAAAUGAAGAGCCAAAUGCUUAUGGAAGAGAGCAGCACACAGGCGUGUGGGAUUGGCAGUGAACGAGUAAACAUCAGGACUGGCUGAAUGAAUGAAUGAAUGAAUGAACGAACAAAUAAGAGCACAAGCCCUUCACAUCUUCUGAGCAGCUCUGGGGAAAGUAACUGGAGUGAUGACGGCUGCAGGUGGCGUAGAGCAUCCAGUGAAACAAUGGAACCUAGGAUUGCAGGGAGUGCUAUCUCGGCUGCACGUCCCCUCAAAGCAAGUGCAAGAAGCUUGGACGGCUCCUCAGAAGACAGCCUGGCCUGCAGGUGCAGAUGUGCGGCCAGGAAUCUUAGAAGACAGUUUAAAUACGAUGCUCUCCAUAAACUUGACAAAAGAAAAAUGACCACUUUCAUCCUGGGGAAAAAAAAUAUCCUGUUUCAUUUAGUAUGUUUUUAAGAGGAACAAACCAAUGACCUCAUCUCUAAGUUGAAAGUCAGAGGGUGAUUGGCCAACUCUAUAAACAAUGUCUUUAAUGGGACAAGAUGUUUGCAAACUUGCAUCUGACAAAGGUCUAAUAUCCAGAAUCUAUCAGGAACUUAAACAAAUUUAUAAGCAGAAAAAAACCCCAUUAAAAAGUGGGCAAAGGACAUGAACAGACACGUUCCAAAGGAAGACAUAAAUGCAGCCAACAAACAUAUGAAAAGUGCUCAACAUCGCUAGGCAUUAGGGAAAUGCAAACUGAAACCACAAUGAGAUACCAUCUCACACCAGUCAGAAAUGCUAUUAUUAAAAAGUCAAAAAAGAAUAGAUAGUGGCAAGGUUGUGGAGAAAAGAGAACACUUAUACACUGCUGGUGAGAGUGUAAAUUACUUCAACCAUUGUGAAAACAGUGUGGCAAGUCCUCAAAUAACUUAAAAUAGAAUUCACCAUUCAACCUAGUAAUCCCAUUGCUGGAUAUGUGCCCAAAGGAAUAUAAAUCUUUCUACCAUAAAGACACAUGCACAGGUAUGUUCAUCAAAGCACUGUUCACAAGAGCAAAGAUGUGGAAUCAACCUAAAUGCCCAUCGAUGGUAGACUGGCUUAAAAAAAUGUGAUACAUAUCCACGAUGGAAUACUAUGCAGCCAUAAAAAAGAAUGAUGUCAUGUCCUUUGCAGCAACGUGAAUGGAGCUGGAGGCCGUUAUCCUAAGCAAACUAAUGCAAGAACAGAAAGCCAAAUAGCACAUGUUCUCACUUAUAAAUGGGAGCUAAACGUUGAGUGCACGUGGACACAAAGAAGAAAACAAUAGCCAUGCGGCCGGUAUCUGUUGUUGGAGGAGAGAGAGGAUUGAAAAACUACCCGUCGGGUACCAUGCUUAUUACUAGAUGACAAAAGAAACUGUACACCAAGCCCCUUUGGCACACAGUUUACCUAUAUAACAAACCUGCACGUGUACCCUUGAGUCUAAAAUAAAAGCUAAAAAAAUUACAACAGCGAUGAAUAAAUAAAUAAAUAAUGCCUUUGAGUGAAUACCGGUGAGGUAUGCAAAAAACCCGCAAUUGAUGUUUUUCUAUCUAAUAAAGCAGUAAUGUUUCCAUAACUGAAAUACAAAAUACAACCACCCUCCAGAACUUCAGAGGGCUCCCCAGGAACAAACUCCAGGACAAAGCUUGGGGUCCCAAGGGUGGUGUUGAAGGGCCUUGAAGACCUAGGGCUACGCUGCUUCGCUGGCCAUGGCUGGCCAUGCCCCUAAGCGUCUCACCUUCCAGCAUAUUUGGGGAAGGUUGUGACUUCCUUGCCUCUCUGCACUUGUAAAGACCUCCUUUCCUCUUUUUGGACAUCCUCCCCUACAUCCUGUUGUCAACUGGCAAACACCUACUCAGCCUGCAAGAGCCAGUUCAAUUACUAAUCCUAUCCAGAGUUUUCCUGAGCAUUUCAAGAUAAAGUUAGCCACCCUCGUUCCUGUGCCGUCAGCACUCCCUAGACCCCAGACUCCUUAGCUCUUAUCCUGUUGUAUCAGGCGUAUUGAUUUAUGCCUGUCCCUCCCAUAAGGCCAUAUGAGUGCAUGACAGGAGUUGUGUCUUACUCAUCUUUGUGUCAUCAUUCCCCCUGCAAAGCCGAUUACUAUGCCUGGUAUGUCAUUGUGACUUGAUAAAUUCAUCUUUUGAAAAAACAAUUUCUUUUUAUAUCUCUGAAUUUCUUGCACAUCAUAGCUUUCAUAUCAAGAGGAAUAGCAAUUGGAAAAUAAUCAUCCUCAAAUAGUAUUGAUAGAGUGGCCUUGCACAUGAAACUAUAAAGAGUUGAAGGUCUAAAAUAAAAUUUGAGGCUGGGCACAGUAGCUCACACCUGUAAUCCCAGCACUCUACGAGGCCAAAGUGGGCAAAUCAGCUAAGGUCAGGAGUUCAAGACCAGCCUGGCCAACAUGGUGAAACCCGUCUCUACUAAAAAAACGAAAAUUGGUGGUGCUUGGUGACACAUGCCUGUAAUCCCAGCUGUCACCUGUAGUCCCAGCUACUCGGGAGGCUGAGGCAGGAGAAUCACUUGAACCCAGUGGAGGUUGCAGUGAGCCAAGAUCACUCCACUGCACUGUAGCCUGGGUGACAAAGUGAGACUCCGUCUCAAAAAAAUAAAGAAAUAAAAAUAAAAAAUAAAAUUUGAACAAUUAUAUAAAUACCAAUGACCAACCAGGAUACCUGAAUCUCUACUAUGUCCCUAGAAAUGGAUGAAGACACAGGAAAUAUAAUCCCUGACAUAAGGAGCUUACCGUCGGGUCAGGGUGGCAAGACCUACGUGGAAUAUAACCAUGGUAUUUUGAAGUUGGAGGGGUGUCAUUAGAGAAAAUAAAACAGCAACCACCAAAUGAGCAAGCGUUCAGUUGGCUCUGAUGUUACAGGUGACGCUCCAAUGCUGUUCCACACACGUCCCUCCUGCAGGCAGCUGCUCUGCCUCUCAAGGCCGCUGCAGGCCUGGGAGGGAGCCCCCACCAGGAACACCUAGAGAUCUUAGGGAUUCCAAGCUGGUCUCUUGUUCAAAUUGGAGAAAAGCCCCCUGCUUUGGAUUACACUCUGGUGGAGGGGCACCCCCUAGGGUGUCACAAAGUUUGACGAAAGUUUUUGUCACAUCCUCUGGCUUCAGAAUCCAAGCAGGAGUCCAGGGAGCUGGGCCAAGGCUGGCUUCAAACACGAGAUGGUAUGUUAUAUUCUGAUCCCUGCCUCUCUCUAGCAAAUCCUGUUUCUGAGGCAAGAUCCUCAGGCCAUCUCUCGUUUUCUUUUUCUUCUUUUUUUUUUUUUUUUUUUGAGACAGAGUCUCACUCUGUCACCAGGCGGCAGGCUGGAGUGCAGAGGCGCGACCUCGGCUCACUGCAACCUCCGCCUCCCAGAUUCAAG
RNAcentral lists this long non-coding RNA (3842 nucleotides) under Aotus nancymaae (Ma's night monkey). RNAcentral's name for it is "lncRNA (ENSANAG00000039222.1)". The record is from RNAcentral. Lineage: Eukaryota; Metazoa; Chordata; Mammalia; Primates; Aotidae.